GCCGGUGUGGCUCAGUGGAUGGAGCGUCAGCCUGCAGACUGAAGGGUCCCGGGUUCGAUUCCAGCCACGGGCA
This 73-nucleotide transfer RNA is filed under the name Myotis davidii. It matches the Rfam family "tRNA". From Rfam's summary of the family: Transfer RNA (tRNA) molecules are approximately 80 nucleotides in length. Their secondary structure includes four short double-helical elements and three loops (D, anti-codon, and T loops). The record is from Rfam by way of RNAcentral. Lineage: Eukaryota; Metazoa; Chordata; Mammalia; Chiroptera; Vespertilionidae.